UUCUUUUCUAUGUUUCCUCUCUUGAUUUUUUGAAAAUUAGAUGGAGUGCAAGUUCUUGCAUUAGGAUCUCGUAUAUUACGUCAAUACAGAAGGAAGAAGAAUAUCGUAGGUAAGGUUUCAAAUCUAUGAGUUUUUUUAGAUUGAUUGAAGGUUUUGUUUGAAGUUUUCUAUUAAUGUUCAUUUUUUUUUUUUUUUUGUCUUUCUAUUAGAUUGCACAAUCAAUUUUUGAGUUUCCUACAUCUAGACCGUGAGUUAGAUUGUUCUCCAUUUUGGGUUCGGCUUUGUUUAGAGUGUACAUUUACAGGUAAUUUGAAUUUCUCCAUUUUUUUGGGCAUUUUGAUUUUUUCUAAUUUUUUUUGGGUAUUAUGUAUAAAUUUUUUUUUAUAUUUUUCUAAAAAAAAAUUUCACAUUCUGUCA
RNAcentral lists this long non-coding RNA (417 nucleotides) under Olea europaea subsp. europaea. The record is from RNAcentral. Lineage: Eukaryota; Viridiplantae; Streptophyta; Magnoliopsida; Lamiales; Oleaceae.